GUCCGUCUCUUGUGUCAUUAACCAGAUUAUGUUCAGCUGUGUACUCACCGGUCUCUCAUUACCAUCCUCAUCUGUCAGCAUAUUUAAGUCCUCUGUUUCCUUCUGUUCACUGUCGCGUCAUUGAUGUUGUUACUGCUGGUCCCGUGUGUUCAGUUCUGUUCAGUCACUUCGGUUCAGCCAGCCAUUUCAUUAAAUACCAUUAUCCUGCACCGUGAGUCCAGCGUUUGGGUCCUCUUCUCAUUCACACGCGAAACCCUGACAACAAGUCCAAGGACAUGGGAUCAUCCAACUCUGAGCACGAAAACUUACUGGAGGAAUUUUAAGCCCGACAAGAUAAAUUCACAAACAAUGGUGUGGCAGCCACGAGUGAGCCAGCCCUGCAAACCCUGUGGAUGGAGGAUGCAGUGGACAGUGGGAGGAAGCAUCCUGAAGCUCUCUUUGCAGACCACCCUGUGUGAUUCUCCACUCGCC
This is a long non-coding RNA of Oreochromis aureus, 471 nucleotides long. Lineage: Eukaryota; Metazoa; Chordata; Actinopteri; Cichliformes; Cichlidae. The record is from Ensembl.